RNAcentral lists this ribosomal RNA (196 nucleotides) under Hemiculter leucisculus (sharpbelly). RNAcentral's name for it is "partial small subunit ribosomal RNA". The record is from RNAcentral. Lineage: Eukaryota; Metazoa; Chordata; Actinopteri; Cypriniformes; Xenocyprididae.
CGAGAGGCCCUAGUUGAUAAAACCACGGCGUAAAGGGUGGUUAAGGAGAGCAAGACGAUUUUUUAAAGCCAAAUGGCCCUUUGGCCGUCAUACGCUUCUAGGUGUCCGAAGCCCAAUCACACGAAAGUAGCUUUAAUAAAGCCCACCUGACCCCACGAAAGCUGAGAAACAAACUGGGAUUAGAUACCCCACUAUG